RNAcentral lists this ribosomal RNA (301 nucleotides) under uncultured bacterium. Its description in RNAcentral is "partial 16S ribosomal RNA". It matches the Rfam family "Bacterial small subunit ribosomal RNA", at positions 509 to 809 of the family's 1533-position model. The record is from RNAcentral.
CAGCAGCCACGGGAAUACAGAGGGUGCGAGCGUUAAUCGGAUUUACUGGGCGUAAAGCGUGCGUAGGCGGCUUUUUAAGUCGGAUGUGAAAUCCCUGAGCUUAACUUAGGAAUUGCAUUCGAUACUGGGAAGCUAGAGUAUGGGAGAGGAUGGUAGAAUUCCAGGUGUAGCGGUGAAAUGCGUAGAGAUCUGGAGGAAUACCGAUGGCGAAGGCAGCCAUCUGGCCUAAUACUGACGCUGAGGUACGAAAGCAUGGGGAGCAAACAGGAUUAGAUACCCGUGUAGUCCCUGUCUCUUAUAU